This is a non-coding RNA of Triticum aestivum (bread wheat), 135 nucleotides long. The record is from Rfam. NCBI's taxonomy places the organism in Eukaryota, Viridiplantae, Streptophyta, Magnoliopsida, Poales, Poaceae.
CGGAUACUCCCUCCGUCCCAAAAUUCUUGUCUUAGAUUUUUCUACAUACGGAUGUAUCCAUUCACAUUUUAGUGUUAGAUACAUCCGUAUCUAGAUAAAUCUAAGACAAGAAUUUUGGGACGGAGGGAGUACUAG